AUAACUACAAAUACAAGCAAGGCCUUGAAAAAGAAAAAAUCUUAACUUACACUAUCAUUAGGUAUACCACGCAGGGGUCACGCAAUGUCUCCGCUAUUCUGUCUCACGGCUGUCUCCGUAUGUCUUGUCCGUCUCAACGUUACACGGGCGGUCUUUAUAUAGUCUACCGCGCGUCGAGAUCAAGACCAAUCUAGUAGUUUCUAGAAUACUACUUGAGAACAGAACAAGUGAUCAACCAGACAGAGCUAGAACCUUCUCUAAA
Biomphalaria pfeifferi is the source of this 262-nucleotide non-coding RNA. The record is from the annotation of a GenBank genome assembly. NCBI's taxonomy places the organism in Eukaryota, Metazoa, Mollusca, Gastropoda, Planorbidae.